GCAUAAUCACUUGUCCCUUAAAUCGGGACUGGAAUGAACGGCUAAAUGAGGACUAAACUGUCUCUUACAGGCUAGCCAAUGAAAUUGAUUUUCCAGUACAAAAGCUGGAAUAUAACCACAAGACGAGAAGACCCUGUGGAGCUUACAAACCAAAUUCACCAAACAUGUCUUUAUCGGUUUUCAGUUGGGGCGACUUUGGAGUAAAAAACAACCUCCAAACACCAAACUAAUUAAGAACAACAUAUCAAAAUAUAUCUGUAAUGACCCAGCAACCCUGUGGUUGUCUGAUUAAUGAACCAAGUUACCCCAGGGAUAACAGCGCCAUCCCCUUCUAGAGUCCCUAUCGACAAGGGGGUUUACGACCUCGAUGUUGGAUCAGGACACCCCAAUGGUGCAGCCGCCAUUAACGGUUCGUUUGUUCAACGAUUAAAGUCCAACGUGAU
RNAcentral lists this ribosomal RNA (443 nucleotides) under Anatololacerta sp. CI-2014a. RNAcentral describes it as "partial 16S ribosomal RNA". It matches the Rfam family "Bacterial large subunit ribosomal RNA", at positions 1959 to 2604 of the family's 2925-position model. Lineage: Eukaryota; Metazoa; Chordata; Lepidosauria; Squamata; Lacertidae. RNAcentral also lists the same sequence under 1 other name. The record is from RNAcentral.